UACGGAGGGUGCAAGCGUUAUCCGGAUUCACUGGGUUUAAAGGGUGCGUAGGAGGGCAGGUAAGUCAGUGGUGAAAUCCUGGGGCUUAACCCCAGACUGCCGUUGAUACUAUCGGUCUUGAAUGUCGUGGAGGUGAGCGGAAUAUGUCAUGUAGCGGUGAAAUGCGCAGAUAUCAGGAGGAACACCGGUGGCGAAGGCGGAUCUCUGGGCCAUUACUGACGUGAGGAGCGAAAAGCGU
Molecule: ribosomal RNA, 238 nt
Filed under: uncultured bacterium
Lineage: Bacteria
Description: partial 16S ribosomal RNA
Rfam family: Bacterial small subunit ribosomal RNA
Source: RNAcentral